CCUACGGGAGGCAGCAGUGGGGAAUAUUGCACAAUGGGGGAAACCCUGAUGCAGCGACGCCGCGUGAGUGAAGACGUAUCUCGGUACGUAAAGCUCUAUCAGCAGGGGAGUAAAUGACGGUACCUGACUAAGAAGCUCCGGCUAACUACGUGCCAGCAGCCGCGGUACUACGGAGGGGGCAAGCGUUAUCCGGAUUUACUGGGUGUAAAGGGAGCGUAGACGGAAGCACAAGUCUGGAGUGAAAGCCCGGGGCUUAACCGCGGAACUGCUUUGGAAACUGUGCGGCUGGAGUGCAGGAGGGGUAAGCGGAAUUCGUAGUGUAGCGGUGAAAUGCUUAGAUAUUAGGAGGAACUCCGGUGGCGAAGGCAGUUUACUGGACUGUAACUGACGUUGAGGCUCGAAAGCGUGGGGAGCAAACAGGAUUAGAUACCCCGGUAGUC
Molecule: ribosomal RNA, 440 nt
Filed under: uncultured bacterium
Lineage: Bacteria
Description: partial 16S ribosomal RNA
Rfam family: Bacterial small subunit ribosomal RNA
Source: RNAcentral